CCUACGGGUGGCAGCAGUAGGGAAUCUUCCACAAUGGGCGAAAGCCUGAUGGAGCAACGCCGCGUGGGUGAUGAAGGUCCUCGGAUCGUAAAACCCUGUUGUUAGAGAAGAAAGUGCGUGAGAGUAACUGUUCACGUUUCGUCGGUAUCUAACCAGAAAGCCCCGGCUCACUACGUGCCAGCAGCCGCGGUAAUACGGAGGUGGCAAGCGUUAUCCGGAUUUAUUGGGCGUAAAGGGAACGCAGGCGGUCUUUUAAGUCUGAUGUGAAAGCCUUGGGCUUAACCGGAGUAGUGCAUUGGAAACUGGGAGACUUGAGUGCGGAAGAGGAGAGUGGAACUCCAGGUGUAGCGGUGAAAUGCGUAGAUAUAUGGAAGAACACCAGUGGCGAAGGCGGCUCUCUGGACUGUAACUGACGCUGAGGUUCGAAAGCGUGGGUAGCAAACAGGAUUAGAUACCCGGGUAGUC
This 465-nucleotide ribosomal RNA is filed under the name uncultured bacterium. RNAcentral's name for it is "partial 16S ribosomal RNA". It matches the Rfam family "Bacterial small subunit ribosomal RNA", at positions 338 to 795 of the family's 1533-position model. The record is from RNAcentral.